CACGUAGGUGGCGCUACAAGUUGGAUGUGAAAGCUCCCGGCUUAACUGGGAGAGGUCAUUCAAAACUGUAGUGCUCGAGGCUGAAAGAGGAGAGUGGAAUUCCCGGUGUAGUGGUGGAAUGCGUAGAUAUCGGGAGGAACACCAGUGGCGAAAGCGGCUCUCUAGUUCACGCCUGACGCUGAGGUGCGAAAGCGUGGGUAGCGAACG
RNAcentral lists this ribosomal RNA (207 nucleotides) under uncultured bacterium. RNAcentral's name for it is "partial 16S ribosomal RNA". It matches the Rfam family "Bacterial small subunit ribosomal RNA", at positions 568 to 774 of the family's 1533-position model. The record is from RNAcentral.